UUUGUUUGGAUAUUCCCAUUGAUGUUUUUAGGACUGCAACUGAUCAGUCUCUAAUUGGCCAUAUGUGCAUA
RNAcentral lists this transfer RNA (71 nucleotides) under Schistosoma mansoni. The record is from RNAcentral. Lineage: Eukaryota; Metazoa; Platyhelminthes; Trematoda; Strigeidida; Schistosomatidae.